Molecule: non-coding RNA, 30 nt
Filed under: Homo sapiens (human)
Lineage: Eukaryota; Metazoa; Chordata; Mammalia; Primates; Hominidae
Source: RNAcentral
UCACCACAACCGAAUGAGCUAAGGAUUCUC